AUAUGCAGACCAAAGAGCAGUUACUCCCUUUUUUCUAUCCACUUUCCCCCAUAUUCUUCUAGGGCUGGUGUUUGGUUGCGAAAAGAUCUAAGACCCCCCUGGGAAAAGGGGCAGAGUGGAAGAGUCAAUAACACAAUGUGAAAAAAAGAGCAGACACCACGGAACAAAAUCCAAUUGUAAUCCUGAUUUGAACAAAGCCCGUGAAAUGUAAAGACCCGGAAAGCCAACCGCUUGGGAGACUUUGCAGCUUCUCAGAAGUAUUCCAGCCUGGCACGCAACUUGGCCCACACAGCAAUGGGAGUGGGGCUCUUUUUCAUUGUUUUGAGUAUUAUCAUAGUGAUGUCGGUUUUACACUUGGCUUUCGGUGUCUCAGAAGCUGCGCCCUGAGAUUCAUCGCCUGAAGAGACCUUCUGACUGAUCCACAAAAUAAAGAAGUAAUGAACCAA
RNA transcript from Anolis carolinensis (green anole), 446 nucleotides. RefSeq lists it as uncharacterized. The record is from RefSeq and is a predicted model, not a curated record. The transcript is spliced from 2 exons. NCBI's taxonomy places the organism in Eukaryota, Metazoa, Chordata, Lepidosauria, Squamata, Anolidae.